This is a long non-coding RNA of Carassius auratus (goldfish), 1289 nucleotides long. RefSeq lists it as uncharacterized. The record is from RefSeq and is a predicted model, not a curated record. The transcript is spliced from 2 exons. NCBI's taxonomy places the organism in Eukaryota, Metazoa, Chordata, Actinopteri, Cypriniformes, Cyprinidae.
GACCCACAAAAUGAUAUAGGCUAACAUAAUAAUGCCCCUAUGCAAAACGAACGGCCAUAAACAGUCAGGUAUGGAUAUUAUUCUUAAUUUCUGUUACAAAAUGUAGAUAGGACUGUAAAAAGUCCAGUUGUAAUAGUUUUAAGAACUUACCAAUGAACACCCAUAUUGGGGGACAGUUAAUCGAAAUAAAUAGUGGUUACUGACCUGUUUUCAACUAUUUCUCACUAGAUGGCACCAUAAGGCACUUCUGGGAAGAUGCUUGAAUUUAUCAAUGCGUGAGUAAUUGUCGAGAGCAGCAACAUACAGACAUUUACUUCAGUAAACAUUCUUGCUGGAUCUAUAAUAAAAGUUGUAGUUGACCUCGGAUUGUGGAGUCAAUGGUAAACAAGAAUAGAUGCAGAUAAAUGCAGUCUGGGUGAGUAUUGAAAAAAAUCUUUCCAACCCCAAACAUUUGAACGGUUCUGUAGAUGCCCAUAGAGUCAUAGUGCUAUCAAACAUUCAUUACAGAACAUAUGUGAAGACUGUACCAGGAUGAUACUGACCGGAAUGUUGACAUGAUUUGGUACAUAGGUUUAUUAUGAGCAAAGCCAGAAGAAGAGACCAUUUCGAACUGCCUAUAGCUUGCCGUAGUGCAGCCUGUCAGCGUGAGCGUCAGAGCUGGAGUCUGCAGAGACUGUCUCUUCUAAUCAUUCCUCCUCUCUCUGAGCUCAGGCUUCAGGCUGAAGCUAUAUUUGGGUCUGCCCAGUGAAACUGUGAUCAUGCAUCCAAUGAACUGUGUAAUCAGAUAGCAUAGCUUUGUCACUACAGUCAAUGCACAUGCUAAGAAAUGCUUCGGUUUUGUUCUCACUUUUAGAAGUCUGCCCUCAGGAACAGUUGUGGGAGUAAAUGAAUCCCCAUUUCAGUUUCAUGCAGUCCAUUGCAUAACCUAUAAUUCUGACGCCCUGUUUACUAACAAAACCUGACUCGCAUACAUGAAUGUGUUCAGCUGAAACCCUUUAAUUAAAGCUAAUUUAACACACAAACAAUGCGCUUUGACACCAGAAAGACAUCGCACAUUUUUGAGAUGGAGAUAGAAAGGGCAGAAAAGAAAAAAAUAAAUCAGGGUUGGAGCUCCACCCAUGACAAUGGGAGACGAGCUUUCCUUGAAACCUCAGAACGACAUCAUGUGAAACCCCAGCAGUGCUGACUGACCCUUUACUCUGAAUCCACAGACUACUCCUCUUAUGGCAGAGACAAGUCUAAAUAAACUAGCAAUCUCUGAAAAAAAAAAAAAAAACAGUAAUGCACAG